UACGGAGGGUGCAAGCGUUAUCCGGAUUCACUGGGUUUAAAGGGUGCGUAGGUGGCUUUGUAAGUCAGUGGUGAAAUGCCGCAGCUCAACUGCGGAACUGCCAUUGAUACUGCUUAGCUUGAAUCACGUCGAGGUGGAUGGAAUAUUACAUGUAGCGGUGAAAUGCUUAGAUAUGCAAUAGAACACCGAUUGCGAAGGCAGUUCACUAGGCGUGUAUUGACACUGAGGCACGAAAAGCGUGGG
This 243-nucleotide ribosomal RNA is filed under the name uncultured bacterium. RNAcentral describes it as "partial 16S ribosomal RNA". It matches the Rfam family "Bacterial small subunit ribosomal RNA", at positions 524 to 765 of the family's 1533-position model. The record is from RNAcentral.